This 543-nucleotide ribosomal RNA is filed under the name uncultured Glomeromycotina. Its description in RNAcentral is "SSU rRNA". It matches the Rfam family "Eukaryotic small subunit ribosomal RNA", at positions 552 to 1096 of the family's 1831-position model. Lineage: Eukaryota; Fungi; Glomeromycota. The record is from RNAcentral.
AGGGCAAGUCUGGUGCCAGCAGCCGCGGUAAUUCCAGCUCCAAUAGCGUAUAUUAAAGUUGUUGCAGUUAAAAAGCUCGUAGUUGAAUUUCGGGGUCAGCAGGUCGGUCGUGCCAAUGGUAUGCACUGGCCUUGCUGAUUCCUCCCUCUUGAUGAGCCGUAAUGCCAUUAAUUUGGUGUUGCGGGGAAUCAGGACUGUUACUUUGAAAAAAUUAGAGUGUUUAAAGCAGGCAAGCGCUUGAAUACAUUAGCAUGGAAUAAUGAAAUAGGACGUUCGAUCCUAUUUUGUUGGUUUCUAGGAUUGACGUAAUGAUUAAUAGGGAUAGUUGGGGGCAUUAGUAUUCAAUUGUCAGAGGUGAAAUUCUUGGAUUUAUUGAAGACUAACUACUGCGAAAGCAUUUGCCAAGGAUGUUUUCAUUAAUCAAGAACGAAAGUUAGGGGAUCGAAGACGAUCAGAUACCGUCGUAGUCUUAACCAUAAACUAUGCCGACUAGGGAUCGGAUGAUGUUAAUUUUUUAAUGACUCAUUCGGCGCCUUACGGGAA